RNAcentral lists this ribosomal RNA (503 nucleotides) under uncultured bacterium. RNAcentral's name for it is "partial 16S ribosomal RNA". The record is from RNAcentral.
GGAGUUAGCCGGUGCUUCUUCUGUGAGUGAUGUCCUUCCUGCCGGCUAUUAACCCGCAGGCCUUCUUCCUCACUGAAAGUGCUUUACAACCCGAAGGCCUUCUUCACACACGCGGCAUGGCUGGAUCAGGGUUGCCCCCAUUGUCCAAUAUUCCCCACUGCUGCCUCCCGUAGGAGUCUGGGCCGUGUCUCAGUCCCAGUGUGGCUGAUCAUCCUCUCAGACCAGCUACGGAUCGUCGCCUUGGUGAGCCGUUACCUCACCAACCAGCUAAUCCGACAUAGGCUCAUCCGAUAGCGCGAGGCCCGAAGGUCCCCCGCUUUCCCCCGUAGGGCGUAUGCGGUAUUAGCCUGGGUUUCCCCAGGUUAUCCCCCACUACCGGGCAGAUUCCUAUGCAUUACUCACCCGUCCGCCGCUCGCCACCAGGGAGCAAGCUCCCCGUGCUGCCGCUCGACUUGCAUGUGUAGCUCGCCGCCACGCGUCAUCUGAGCAGAUACAACUACUGA